This 492-nucleotide ribosomal RNA is filed under the name uncultured bacterium. RNAcentral's name for it is "partial 16S ribosomal RNA". It matches the Rfam family "Bacterial small subunit ribosomal RNA", at positions 29 to 507 of the family's 1533-position model. The record is from RNAcentral.
AGUGAACGCUGGCGGUGGGCCUAACACAUGCAAGUCGAACGGCAGCACAGUAAGAGCUUGCUCUUACGGGUGGCGAGUGGCGGACGGGUGAGGAAUACAUCGGAAUCUACUUUUUCGUGGGGGAUGACGUAGGGAAACUUACGCUAAUACCGCAUACGACCUACGGGUGAAAGCAGGGGAUCUUCGGACCUUGCGCGAUUGAAUGAGCCGAUGUCGGAUUAGCUAGUUGGCGGGGUAAAGGCCCACCAAGGCGACGAUCCGUAGCUGGUCUGAGAGGAUGAUCAGCCACACUGGAACUGAGACACGGUCCAGACUCCUACGGGAGGCAGCAGUGGGGAAUAUUGGACAAUGGGCGCAAGCCUGAUCCAGCCAUACCGCGUGGGUGAAGAAGGCCUUCGGGUUGUAAAGCCCUUUUGUUGGGAAAGAAAAGCAGCAGGUUAAUACCCCGCUGUUCUGACGGUACCCAAAGAAUAAGCACCGGCUAACUUCGUG